UGAGUCCUGAUGUGUUCGUUGUGCAACCUAGUUUUGACCGAACAUUUUCUUGUACGGGAGUUUGGAGUUUUCAGGCAGAGUACAUGCCUCGCUGAAGAGGACUUACACAAGCUCGAAACAGAACACCCACCUGCUGAGAGCGGGUUCAAAGCAAUGGCACAACAUACGACGGCACGAUUGGGACUCUU
This 188-nucleotide non-coding RNA is filed under the name Bacillus aquiflavi. RNAcentral describes it as "6S / SsrS RNA". It matches the Rfam family "6S / SsrS RNA". Rfam says of the family: E. coli 6S RNA was the first non coding RNA to be sequenced, but its function was unknown until recently. It consists of 184 nucleotides that fold into an extended hairpin structure with a large single-stranded internal bulge. The record is from Rfam by way of RNAcentral. Lineage: Bacteria; Bacillati; Bacillota; Bacilli; Caryophanales; Bacillaceae.